Molecule: long non-coding RNA, 442 nt
Filed under: Ananas comosus (pineapple)
Lineage: Eukaryota; Viridiplantae; Streptophyta; Magnoliopsida; Poales; Bromeliaceae
Description: long non-coding RNA (ACOM_LNC036800)
Source: RNAcentral
CCCCUUCAUCACGGGCCAUGCCUCCACCAUCCGCGGUGGCCCCUUCCGUCGCAUCCACAUAGGGAAUGUAUAACGCCCCUAACAGUCCCACAUCGAAUGGGAUAUUGAAUCCGAUCAGUUUAUAUGAGACCUCGCAUGCUAAUAAUAAUAAGUGGGCUUAAACAUUUUGGGUCGGUGGUUUAGGCCCGACAAGUUAUUAUUACUGGCGGGUCGGGUCGUUACAAUUUUUCUCUGUCAUGUCUCAACCCGAGGCGUAACAGACGCUGCAUACCUACUAAACUAGCAAAUAUGCAAGGCUACGGAAUCAUACAGAAACUAGCAAAUAAAUGAUUACCAAGUUUUCACUAAAUUCAAAUAAUCAAAAGAUUAGACUAAAAAAUUGAAUUUCAACUAUAAUUAAACUGAAUUCGAACAGCUAUAAAACUAAAACAUACUCCGAAAC